CCUAACACAUGCAAGUCGAACGGUAACAGGAAACAGCUUGCUGUUUCGCUGACGAGUGGCGGACGGGUGAGUAAUGUCUGGGAAACUGCCUGAUGGAGGGGGAUAACUACUGGAAACGGUAGCUAAUACCGCAUAACGUCGCAAGACCAAAGAGGGGGACCCUCGGGCCUCUUGCCAUCGGAUGUGCCCAGAUGGGAUUAGCUUGUUGGUGGGGUAACGGCUCACCAAGGCGACGAUCCCUAGCUGGUCUGAGAGGAUGACCAGCCACACUGGAACUGAGACACGGUCCAGACUCCUACGGGAGGCAGCAGUGGGGAAUAUUGCACAAUGGGCGCAAGCCUGAUGCAGCCAUGCCGCGUGUAUGAAGAAGGCCUUCGGGUUGUAAAGACUUUCA
This 394-nucleotide ribosomal RNA is filed under the name uncultured bacterium. Its description in RNAcentral is "bacterial SSU rRNA". It matches the Rfam family "Bacterial small subunit ribosomal RNA", at positions 47 to 438 of the family's 1533-position model. The record is from RNAcentral.